UCUCCCUGACUCCUUGAGAGUCCUGAAGGAACGUUGAAGACGACGACGUUGAUAGGCCGGGUGUGUAAGCGCAGCGAUGCGUUGAGCUAACCGGUACUAAUGAACCGUGAGGCUUAACCUUACAACGCCGAAGGUGUUU
RNAcentral lists this ribosomal RNA (139 nucleotides) under Escherichia coli. RNAcentral's name for it is "partial 23S ribosomal RNA". The stretch from base 1 to 121 matches the Rfam family "Bacterial large subunit ribosomal RNA", at positions 2810 to 2925 of the family's 2925-position model. The record is from RNAcentral. Lineage: Bacteria; Pseudomonadati; Pseudomonadota; Gammaproteobacteria; Enterobacterales; Enterobacteriaceae.